UUGAAAGCCUUAGAAACUAGAGGUCUCUAUUUAUCCACAAAGCAGACACACCACAGGCAGCAGUACUGCAAGCUUCCCCACAGUGUGAUUCAAUCCUGCUGUGGAAGCUGCAUCACUACAGGUUACAUUAAGUGGCACCCUUGUUGGCAAUCUGAGGAGAAAAAUCCA
RNAcentral lists this small RNA (168 nucleotides) under Gopherus agassizii (Agassiz's desert tortoise). RNAcentral's name for it is "TUC338 (ENSGAGG00000009735.1)". The record is from RNAcentral. Lineage: Eukaryota; Metazoa; Chordata; Testudines; Testudinidae.